CAGCUCCCCGAGUGGUGGGGACGAUUAUUGGGCCUAAAGCGUCCGUAGCCGGCUUGGCAAGUCUCCCGUUAAAUCCAGCGACUAAUCGUUGGACUGCGGGAGAUACUGUCAGGCUAGGGGGCGGGAGAAGCCGACGGUACUCUCGGGGUAGGGGUGAAAUCCUAUAAUCCCGAGAGGACCACCAGUGGCGAAGGCGGUCGGCUAGAACGCGCCCGACGGUGAGGGACGAAAGCUGGGGGAGCGAACCGGAUUAGAUACCCGGGUAGUCCCAGCUGUAAACGAUGCAGGCUAGGUGUUGGCGCGACCACGAGUUACGCCAGUGCCGCAGGGAAGCCGUUAAGCCUGCCGCCUGGGGAGUACGGUCGCAAGACUGAAACUUAAAGGAAUUGGCGGGGGAGCACCACAAGGGGUGAAGCUUGCGGUUCAAUUGGAGUCAACGCCGGGAACCUCACCAGGGGAGACAGCAGGGUGAAGGCCAGAUUGAAGGUCUUGCCGGACAAGCUGAGAGGAGGUGCAUGGCCGUCGCCAGUUCGUGCCGUGAGGUGUCCUGUUAAGUCAGGCAACGAUCGAGACCCACGCCCCUUGUUGCCAGCGGCACUCCAGAAGGAGGCCGGGCACACUAGGGGGACCGCCGCCGAUAAGGCGGAGGAAGGUGUGGGCCACGGCAGGUCAGUAUGCCCCGAAUCCCCUGGGCCACACGCGAGCUGCAAUGGUAGGGACAAUGAGUUGCAACCCUGAGAGGGGAAGCUAAUCUCUAAACCCUGCCUCAGUUGGGAUCGAGGGCUGCAACCCGCCCUCGUGAACAUGGAAUCCCUAGUAAUCGCGCGUCAUCAUCGCGCGGUGAAUACGUCCCCGCUCCUU
This 861-nucleotide ribosomal RNA is filed under the name uncultured organism. Its description in RNAcentral is "bacterial SSU rRNA". It matches the Rfam family "Archaeal small subunit ribosomal RNA", at positions 477 to 1338 of the family's 1478-position model. The record is from RNAcentral.